RNAcentral lists this long non-coding RNA (1113 nucleotides) under Bos indicus x Bos taurus (hybrid cattle). Its description in RNAcentral is "lncRNA (ENSBIXG00000007503.1)". The record is from RNAcentral. Lineage: Eukaryota; Metazoa; Chordata; Mammalia; Artiodactyla; Bovidae.
CCGUUUUCUACAGAUUCUAAAAGGAAAACGCGCAUUUCUUACGCGAGAGCAAAAGAACUCCCCAGGGUUUCUUCUUUCCUUCCUAGCUCUGUGCGGAGUGCAAUAAGUAAAUCCCUCCCAGAUUGCCUCGAGGCCGGGCAUUUACGCAACUUGAAAAUAGGGCUAGGAGAGCAAAUAGUGUCUUAAACCGAAAUCCUUUCCGAAGUCGGCCACUACAUCGACUCACCCCGGCUAGGCUCAACUGUAAAUUGCCUACCUAGCAACCCGGUGAGUGACAUGCAAACUGAUGGCAAGGAUCCAGAGCGCGCGCCCGGACCACCGCGGAGGGCUGGGGGCAGAUCCCCGAGCCCUCUAGCUGGGUCCGGGGCUCGCGCGUGCGUACGAGCGAGCUAGCGAGGGGCUCCGGGCGCGGCGCGUGGUCUGCGCGCGCCCGGCCGUGCGUGUGGCUGCGGGAGGCUGCGUGUGCGCGCAGGGAGGGACAGUCCGCCUCCCGCCCGCGUCGGAGCAGGGUGCGCGCCCUGCGCUGGAGAGUUAAGGAAGAUUUGAGUUUGCAGUCCUCAGCUGGGAACGGCUUUGUGUUUGGCCCUUUUUCCCCCAGGCGGCUUAGACAGAGUAGUUCAUGGCAAAUCUUGUAAUUAAAGCAUGGAAUAUGGAAAACAAAACACUUCAGCUGGUACUUUAGUCUCAUGUGAAAUUCUACAGGCUACUCUGUCAUGUGACUCCCUCAGACUGCCCACCACUCAGGGCAGAGUUGUGUCAACUUUUUUGUACACUUUGUUCCCGGCACCAGAAUCUGGAAAGGCUGUGAGGUUGGACUCUUCUACAGGCGCUGUGCUCUAGAGAAGGAUCAUAGCAUUUAGAGUUGAACCUGAACGUGGGUUCCAGGUCCACCUGUUCUUGGGCUGCAGUGGUCUCUGAAAAAAUGACAUGGUGACACCCAUUUUACCAUGUUGUGAAAUGUGCUUUGUAAAUUGCUAUAGACAUGAUACAUACUUAAGCCCAAAUGUCCACUUAACCUUAAAACAAACAAACCCUGCUGACAACAUUGUAAAUCAACUAUACUUCAAUUAAAAAAAUAAUAAAAAAAAUGUUUUAAACCCUGCUUAAAAUUCU